ACGGAAAAGCUGUAGCUAAUACUUGCUUUAUUAUCCUUUGAUUUUUAUCUUUGGAUAAGUAUUUGUUAGGCCUUAUAAGAAAAAAGUUAUUAACUUAAGGAAUUAUAACAAAGAAGUAACACGUAAUAAAUUUAUUUUAUUUAGUGUGUAUCAAUCGAGUUUCUGACCUAUCAGCUUUUGAUGUUAGGGUAUUGGCCUAACAUGGCUAUGACGGGUAACGGGGAAUUAGAGUUCGAUUCCGGAGAGGGAGCCUGAGAAAUAGCUACCACAUCUAAGGAAGGCAGCAGGCGCGUAAAUUACCCAAUUCUAAAGAAGAGAGGUAGUGACAAGAAAUAACAAUGCAAGGCCAAUUUUUGGUUUUGUAAUUGGAAUGGUGGGAAUUUAAAACCUUCCCAGAGUAACAAUUGGAGGGCAAGUCUGGUGCCAGCAGCCGCGGUAAUUCCAGCUCCAAUAGCGUAUAUUAAAAUUGUUGCAGUUAAAACGCUCGUAGUUGAAUUUCAAAGAAUCGAUAUUUUAUUGUAACUAUUCUAGGGGAACUA
This 539-nucleotide ribosomal RNA is filed under the name Plasmodium falciparum (malaria parasite P. falciparum). RNAcentral's name for it is "SSU rRNA". It matches the Rfam family "Eukaryotic small subunit ribosomal RNA", at positions 149 to 682 of the family's 1831-position model. The record is from RNAcentral. Lineage: Eukaryota; Apicomplexa; Aconoidasida; Haemosporida; Plasmodiidae.